UACGUAGGGCGCAAGCGUUGUCCGGAAUUAUUGGGCGUAAAGAGCUCGUAGGCGGCUUGUCACGUCGGAUGUGAAAGCCCGGGGCUUAACCCCGGGUCUGCAUUCGAUACGGGCUAGCUAGAGUGUGGUAGGGGAGAUCGGAAUUCCUGGUGUAGCGGUGAAAUGCGUAGAUAUUGGGAGGAACACCAGUGGCGAAGGCGGCUACCUGGACCGGUUCUGACGCUGAGGCGCGAAAGCGUGGGGAGCAAACAGG
RNAcentral lists this ribosomal RNA (253 nucleotides) under uncultured bacterium. RNAcentral's name for it is "partial 16S ribosomal RNA". It matches the Rfam family "Bacterial small subunit ribosomal RNA", at positions 524 to 776 of the family's 1533-position model. The record is from RNAcentral.